Long non-coding RNA from Dreissena polymorpha, 450 nucleotides. RefSeq lists it as uncharacterized. The record is from RefSeq and is a predicted model, not a curated record. NCBI's taxonomy places the organism in Eukaryota, Metazoa, Mollusca, Bivalvia, Myida, Dreissenidae. The transcript is spliced from 3 exons.
AGAUAAUUUUUAUCGCAUACUACUAUUUGCAUUAUAUUCCUUUUAUUGUUGCCUGUAAAUCUGGCUUCUACGGGCAAAGCUGCUCUAUGAACUGUCACUGCGACACGUGCCAUCACGUCAAUGGAUCCUGCUUAAUGUCUCUUCAAUGCCACGAUGGAUUCAAGAUGGAAAAUGGUUUCUGUACACAACACAAACAGAUAGGAGAAAGUAGUACCGUAAACGUGGCUGGAAUAGUUGGCGGUUGCGUCGCAGCUGUUGUUAUUAUAAUAGGAAUGACUUUAUUAACCUUAUAUUGCAGGCGGCAAAAGCUACAUGCUAAAGAAUGUCAUACUAAAAUAUCUACAUCGGCAAAGAUAGAGACAAGUUUCUAUACGAGAUUUGAUCAUCUCGAUCGGGCUAAUGAUGGUAAAAACGUCUCCGUAGAAGACAAAGCGAAAGUCGCUUCAACAA